UUUUGAUUGAUUUAUUAAUUUGCGGAAAAAUGACAAUUUUUCGACUAACCGAGUAAGAGAACUCGUAUUCAAACAAUUGGGGAGAGAAGUUGAAGGCUCAAAGUCAUCUCCUUUUUCAUUUAGCUUAUUAUGAAAAUAACUUGAUUUGAUCGGGUUUAGAAGUUUAUAGAGAAACGACAAUCAUUUGAUUAACCAAGUAAGAGAACUUAUAUUCAAAUAAUUGAGGAGAAAAAUUGAAAACUCAAAGUCAUCUCCCUUUUCGUUUCUUAUUAUAAAAUGAUUCGAUUUGUUUGUGCUU
This 298-nucleotide long non-coding RNA is filed under the name Lathyrus oleraceus (garden pea). RNAcentral's name for it is "Pisum sativum (pea) long non-coding RNA (PSAT_LNC035218)". The record is from RNAcentral. Lineage: Eukaryota; Viridiplantae; Streptophyta; Magnoliopsida; Fabales; Fabaceae.